AGCGACUUGGAAACGCCAGUCACAGCUCCAUCUGAAACCCCAGCAUCAGUAGCAAAUGAUGUUAAAAUCCCUACGCACAAGUUUUCUUCAAAUCAGGUGGAAGCUAAGGACGCCGAGAAGGGUACUGGAAGUCAUGAGAGAAAUCUCAAGGCAACGCCGAAAAAGCGUCGUAUCAAUGUCUUCCCAAAUAAUCCGCCGUUGAAAUAGAACCUGAAGGGCAAAGCAUGCAAGCAGAAGUGCCUUCUUCAGACAUACGCAAAGCAACGACGUGGAUGGUCUGAUGGAGAACAAUUCUAUCUUAUCAACAAAAGAAGUUUUUUCAUACUAUAUCGGACAAAGGGAGUAUCAGAAACCCACAAGCAUCAGUCCAGUCCAACGUGAUUUUUGGCAAACAAAAAGAAAGGGAGGCAGUGGUGCAACGACUCUGUACUCGCUUACAUUCCUUCCUUGCACUUAUGCAUGUGAUCCAAGGUAAUAAGUGUUUAUCUCAAUGGAAAGGAUCUGUCAUGGAUUUUUUUGUUGGUGCAAUCCUUUUGCAGAAUGUAUUUGAUACUAUCUCGAGAUUUGCCUUGAUGUCACUCGCUGUUAAAUUUCCUUUGAAAGAAAUUGAUACAGAAACAGGCUGAUCUCUCAUGGUGUAAAGCCAAAAAUGAAAAUAAAUGAUGGAAUGAAGGGAGAUACAAUGGUAAAUGAUAAUACUGGAACGUUGGAAAAAUGAAAUUACUUAGUGUUGAUUGGGAUUAAGGGAGGAAGCAUAUUUAAAUGACUGAAUAGAAGAGAACUAAUGAGAAUAAGGACUCAGCAUACUGGGAAGCAAUGAGAUGCACAAAUGCAAAUGAAAUUUUAGAAGUCAUUAAAGAAUGAGGACAAAAUAAUAUUUUGGCUAUUAAACAGUGAUGGAAAUGUUUUUCCAUGAGCAUAAAGAAAAGGUUCAAAUGACUCAUUAAUUUACGCUAUUGAAGAAAAUCGCUAUGAGAUUAUCGGUCUCCGAUGUAAAAUAAGGAUAAUCAUUUUGACAUUAUUGCUAUUAAUAUAAGCUUAAAAUUGAAGACUUCUUGAUAACUUAAUCAUACUUUGCAAUGUCAUUACAAUUUGACAUUGAAGACAAUUUCCAUGAAGGUCUAUAUGAACAUUAUUUGUGAAUUUUUCGAAGCUAAUUUCAUUUGAGAAAUUCACACAUAAUAUUUAUAUAGAUCUUCAUGGAAAUUGUCUUCAAUGUCAAUUUAUAAUGAUCUUGUAAUGUGAGAUUCAAUUAUUAAGAAGUUUUAAAUUUUAAGCUCAUAGUUAAUUGUAAUAAUUUCAAAAUUAUCAUUCUUAUUUUAUAUUAGGGGUAAAGUGAUACUUUUGUAGUGAUUUUUUUCUUCAAUAGUGGAAAUUAUUGAGUUAUUUGAAUUUUUUUCAUGCUUACGCUUGUGGAAGAAUAUUUCCUUCACUCUUCAAUGUAAUAAUUACAAAAAUAAUUAUGCUUGUUGUAUGUUUCCACAAUUAUUUGUCGGUAAUUUGAGGAACAAUAAUAAAUAGUAAUUGUAUGUGAA
Long non-coding RNA from Zingiber officinale, 1535 nucleotides. RefSeq lists it as uncharacterized. NCBI's taxonomy places the organism in Eukaryota, Viridiplantae, Streptophyta, Magnoliopsida, Zingiberales, Zingiberaceae. The transcript has 4 exons. The record is from RefSeq and is a predicted model, not a curated record.